RNAcentral lists this ribosomal RNA (253 nucleotides) under uncultured bacterium. Its description in RNAcentral is "partial 16S ribosomal RNA". It matches the Rfam family "Bacterial small subunit ribosomal RNA", at positions 524 to 776 of the family's 1533-position model. The record is from RNAcentral.
UACGGAGGGUGCAAGCGUUAUCCGGAUUUACUGGGUUUAAAGGGUGUGUAGGCGGGCUUUUAAGUCAGUGGUGAAAUCUCCGGGCUCAACCCGGAAACUGCCAUUGAUACUAUUAGUCUUGAAUUCUGUUGAGGUAGGCGGAAUAAGUCAUGUAGCGGUGAAAUGCAUAGAUAUGACUUAGAACACCAAUUGCGAAGGCAGCUUACUAAACAGAUAUUGAUGCUGAGGCACGAAAGCGUGGGGAUCAAACAGG